AAAAAGGACAGGUGCAGCGAGGAAGAACUACCCCUUUCCCAGUUUAAGUUUAAAAUGAGACACAACGAGCUUCAUUUCUCAUUGAGUCUGUACGAAAAAUAACCCAACACUAGAAAAAAAACACAUUGGAUCUUGAGUCCAGACUCUGAAAAACAUCGACAAGAAAAAGUACUCUUCAUUCAAUCAGAAUCUAGCUUAAAUCAAGCACCAAGCCUCUUAAUUUAAGCUGAUUUCGUUUUGAUUCAAGCAAAAAUCCGAUUGAAUCAAGAGUAUUUUUCUUGUCAAUGUUUUCAAGAGUCUGGACUCUAGAUCCAAUGUGUUUUUUUUCCAGUGAAGGUUUUCCACAUACAAUGCUUAAAUGACCUUAAAUUUUUGACGGUAGAAAAUGUGCAGCUGUCAAGUUCUGCUCAAAAUCCUUGUCGACUCCAUUUCCGAUGAAUAUAGGAACUGGUUACUCUCUGUUUCACUCAGUCCAAAUCAUCUUCGAAUUUUUCCUUGCAUAAUAAUUAUAGUAAUUUUCCAAUUAAUGUUUUGUAUACUCUUUCAGGUCAGUCUGCGACUUACAAUGGAGGAGCAGUGAGCCCUCACGUGGGUUUUGGAAUACAAGAGAACGGGCAGUAUUGUCGCAACGGAGCAAAUCCUGCUGGCUGCUGGAAUCCAGAUAAUGCUGGUCUUCAAGUUGUAUGGAAUAGUAACAACUGCGGGGCCAUCUCCACGAAUGGUCCAUUCUACUGCGGGAACAACGCACCGGACGCUCGGGAAAUCGUCAACGUUUCCGCCUCGGGAAACUGGCCAAACUGCGUUCUGACCCUCACCCGCAAGGGUGGAGCCCGCGGAUGUCAGUACAAAUGCUAACCAGAUGCUAUACAUCGGAACUCAAUGGAUUAUAUUGAAUGGAACUUCAACGUACACUCGGGCUACGCUGACGCAAAAACCAGGGCCUGUAGAGCAAAACCAAUACAACUAAUUUGGCUCCAGCUUCUCAACUUCCGGAGAAUUCAUCUGUAAAGCGGUUGAUUCCAACAAACAAGAGGAUAAAGGCUUUCUUUUUUUCGUUUUUUUAGAAGACUUUCGCUCCGGAGGAAGGCCAUUGAAAAAAAAAUAUCAUACCAAAUAAAGUCUUAUACUUUGACCCCAAAAAAUUGAAGUUCAGUUUAUUGUCCGUUUUGACUUAGGACACUUCGAAUACCGUUGAACUACCGCCGUAUAUUUAUUGUGAAAGCUCAAUUAUGAAUGUGUAAUUUUUCGGCAUACUUAAAAUUUACUUUGUUCAUUUAGACUCCGUUUUCAAAAAUGUUCAGCAUUGAUAUUUUAUUAACCCUUAGAUGACUGACCGUUUUUACCUACACGAAAGACUAACCCGGCCUGCGAGGCCCGUAUUGAGAAUAUAUGGUUAUUUGAUG
RNAcentral lists this long non-coding RNA (1403 nucleotides) under Bemisia tabaci. Its description in RNAcentral is "lncRNA ENSSSA2NGG000977". Lineage: Eukaryota; Metazoa; Arthropoda; Insecta; Hemiptera; Aleyrodidae. The record is from RNAcentral.